Long non-coding RNA from Megalobrama amblycephala (Wuchang bream), 13643 nucleotides. RefSeq lists it as uncharacterized. The transcript is spliced from 2 exons. The record is from RefSeq and is a predicted model, not a curated record. Lineage: Eukaryota; Metazoa; Chordata; Actinopteri; Cypriniformes; Xenocyprididae.
CAUCUGUGGGAUGUGCUGAACAAACAAAUCCGAUCCAUGGAGGCCCCACCUCACAACUUACAGGACUUAAAGGAUCUGCUGCUAACAUACCACAGCACACCUUCAUGAAGCUAGUGGAGUCCAUAUUGACGGGUCAGGGCUGUUUUGGCGGCAAAAGGAGGACCAACACAAUAUUAGGAGGGUGGUCAUAGUGUUAUGCCUGAUCGGUGUAUACACAAUAUCUACACACUGAAACUUUUUACUGUCAGGUUCUAAGGUAAAUUUACCUAAAAGUCCUAAAGUUGAUUUUACAUGUGUUUGUUGGACCUUUGUAGGUCUAGGAACAACAUUCCUGUAAAAGAAACAUACACAUUAGCAACACCUAAUUAACAUUAACAAGACCUAAAAUUACAAUGUUGUCAAAGCCCCAAUUCCAGUCCUAAAUCUAACCAUACAUACAAUGUGAUCCUGAUUCUGGAACAUCUGCAACCUGCUGAAUUUUCAUGCUGGUCCAGGCUUAUUCUGAUUAGUCCAUAUGCUAGUUAGCAUAGUCAUUGGGUCUCAUUCAAUAGUAAUUGCAUGUAUUAUUCGUAUUUAUAAGCACAGGAGAAGAAAAAAAAAAAAAAAAAAAAAGCCUAAUUUACAACACGUGCAUACGCACAUAGAUUUGUUCUUAACAUCAUUCUUACUGUAAUGAAUGUGGAGUAUUCUAAAUGAGCGACCGUGUGCCCGAGGAUAGAAAUUUGCAUAAAAUACACCAAAACAUUUCCAUAUAAGGGCUUUCUGCACACCCUUUCCUUUCAUUGCUCUCAGCAAACAUGAUGCUCUCUAGGGCACGCUCUCAUCUAAGAGAUCCUCAAGCACUGUCAAGUGUGCCAUCCUCCAAACAAGUUCAAACAAAAUAAACAUCUUUAAUGCAGACCCAGAUUAGAGAAUAAAAUUUAGAAUGAAAGUUAUUGAUAAAUUCAUGAAAAUCUUCGUAUGCAGAUGUCACACGCAUGGUUAGUGAAUGAGACCCAUUGUUUUCUCCAGCAAAGCAUGUUGGUGAACAUCGGUUAGCAUGGUUUGUAGUUCUAAGCUGGUUAAUUAAACUAGUCUUGUCGGUUAAGUUAGAUCAGCAGCCUGAUGCCAUCUUUUAAGCCAGGCAACUCCACACUACAGUUUCAUGAAACAACAUGGACCAUUAAAUGACCAAACCCCUUCAGAGGUUUUCAAAAUCCACAGGUGGCUAGGGGAGCUGGGAAGCAGGGCCUGCUGCUGAGCUACAUAUGCUAAUGAUUCAUUCAUUUAGCAGUCCAUUACGCCUCAGCAUUCAGUGUUCCUGGGCCAAGAGGGAGGGUCCUGACGACUGAACACUGCUGCUUGACAAACUGAGCCUCUGUGCUUAUAUGCCCACGGCCACAUCACAUGCAUCUGUUUGGUCAUGCUGAUGAGAUAUGCUCUCCAUUUUCCUAAGCCUCCAAAGGUAUGGUGGGCAUUUACUGCGUAGAAAAAUAACUAAUAGACAUUAGCUGCUUUCUUUGUAAAGUAAAAGAUAAAUGCACAGAAGUUUUAUGUUUUCUUUAUUUAUUUAUUUUAGUUUGGUUAAAGCCAUAACAGUCUAAAUUUCUAAUGUCAGUCGGCACAUCCCGUGAAUAUUAAGAGCUUUUUCACAUGUUAUUGCCCUUAAACUGUCAAAUACACACAAGGUUAUGUCAAAAACAAACAGUUCUCAUAAACAGUCGGUUAUGUCAGUGAACGUAAACAGCAAGUAAAGAAAUCACAUCUGUAUAUUGAAUCAGAUCUGUGUAUUAAAAUGAAAGCAGUGUAAUACAGUACCUACUGCUUCACAUAUAUGCUGUUAAUAUGAAUCAAACAACAAAAGAAAAACAGAAAAUCACUCACUGCUCUUGAUUGAAUAGCUUAGUAGCUUUAAUAAGAAUGAAUUUCUUACUUGAAUGCAGUUGUUAGAUGCUCUGGUGAGGAGAUAAACAUACAGGGUGUAUGCUAAUAGGGCAGAUUCCGUCAGCAGUUUAGGGCGGAGCCAAAGCAUUUGUAACAUCACAAAAGCUACAAUCUGCGACACUGCUUAUGAUUUAUUGGGAUUAUAAAAAGAGGAGUGGGUGGAUUUUUACCAUUAUAGGGUGGUUGUGUAUGUUUAAACACCAUGUAAAAGUGAAUUUUGCUUAAUUGUCCCCUUUACGGCAUGUUUCUUGAUAAGGCAUGCAGAAAGCAUUCAGCCACACACCUGCUAUAAGGAAAGGGUCCUUUGUAGCAAAUUUCUUAACCAGAGUAAAGCACUUAUUUGCCGUGUUUCUAAUCACAGCUGGCUGAUAAGCAUCGAAAGGCUCUUGAGCAGAGGCGCAGAUAUGGCCUCCCAUGAACACACACACACACACACACACACACUUGUACGGAAGUGUGCAUGCUUUUCCAAAGAUGUAAGUCAGAAACGUUGAAGCAUUUGCUUGCGUUAAAUGACUUUUAGUCAUGGGCUGUUCGCACACACUGCACUGCUUAUUCCAGCUAUUUCAGGCACAGGUGUAGAUUGGUUUUAACAUUGAUGGUGGCAUUUUGAAAUCAGACUGAAUAGAUGCACAGAUAUGCACAUCUGCACAGUCUGUAUGCGGUUUGCCACAGUAUUAUCAUUUUAAGUAUAAGUAAUAAUAAAAACAAACAAACAAACAAACAAACAAAAAGCCAUAGACAUGCACCAGUAAAAAUUAGUUAUUGUCUUUUUUGUGUGUGUGAGAAAUUAAUAAUUUGCAUGGGUGAUCACACAACGUGGAAACAUUCUGAACUUAAAAGAACAUAUUCUGAUUCUUAAAUGAAUUAUCUGGUUCACAAAACUAGUUCUAAAUUAUUCUUUCCCAAAAUUGACUGAUCUUCUCUUGUUUAAAGCACUCACUUAAAGUGAGGAUUAGUGCACUUUUAAAUGAAAAUUACCCCAAGCUUUACCUUCAAGCCAUCCUAUGUAUGUGUAUAUCUGACGAACACAAUUGUAGAAAUAUUAAUAAAUAUCCUGACACAUCCGAGCUUUAUAAUGGCAGUAUGUGUUACCAAACGAGUAUGAGCUGAAGAAAGUGUCUCCAUCCACAUUUAUUCAUCAUAAACAUAAUCCACACGGCUCCGGAAGGUUAAUAAAGGCCUUCUGAAGCAAUGCGUCUGAAGCAAUCCUUUAAUGAUGACAUAAAUUUGAGUCUCUUCGUCACAUUAAGUGACCAUGUAACUUAGUUCAGAAGUCAUAUGGAAUACAUUCAUUAUACUUUUAUGGUGCGUUUGCAGCUUCAGUUACCUUUAUUUUCAAUUAUUUUAUUGAAAACAUGCAAAUUCUUCACAAUUUUUCCUUUUGUUUUCCACGAAAAUAAAAUGUGUUUGAAAAAGGUUGAGCAAAUGAUAGAAUAUUCCCUUUUGGGGAAACAAUUAAUUUAACCUUGAUAGUGACAUUUGAUUUGAGGAGUAAUAUACCACACUCUCACACACUCUCACACACACACACACACACACACACACACACACACACACACACACACACACACACACACACACACACACACACAUCUUUACUUCUGUUGACACGCUUUAUGCAUGUUGCUCUGUCUUUACACCCCUCUGUCAACACUAUAAAUUUGAAUCAUGUGUUCUUGCUCAUCUUUAAUUCAUGUGCCUCUCUUCAUAAAUCUGUUUACUGUAAUAGUCUAUACCUGGCCUGUUUUAUGUAUGUAAAUAAGCCCUUUACUCUGAGAUAUUUUUUUACAGCGUAAUAUGCAUCUGAUUUGUACGGAGCCCAGGAAGUCACCUUUAGGAGGAAAAAUCUCUGGCCACAGUUUUGCAAUUCGUCCCCUCAGUUUAUAAACCAUACACACAGAUUCUUAAAUUGUUUCCUUGUUUUAUCAAAUCGCUCCCAUGGAUGAAUAAAUCUUACACAUGAAUUUCCAAUCAGUGCGCUAAGAUUUGUGAACCAUACUUUCAGUUUUCAGUCUAUACCCACAAAUUCAUAAUCCGUGCCCACACUUUCAGAAUCCUUUCCCACAGUUUUGCAAAGUGUACUCACGGAUUUGUGGCCCAUCCUUAAUUUUUUAAAUCUAGUCCCGACACAAGAACAGAGCAAGCUGCCAGUUCUGUUAACAUAUCUUUUAUAUAUAAGCGAAUAAAAAAGGCAUAUUUUAGCAUGCAAAUAUUUUCUCUCAAUACCAUUUCAUCAAUAUUUGCCAUGCCUACUUCCAGCCUCAGGUAUUUGGCAAAAUGGUAAUUGCAAAGCCUUCAGUCAGCUCCACCAAGAAGGAUGAAAGCUUAAUGGAACAUAGAGGAAUAAUCACAGAAGACGUCCAUGACAGUCAAUUAAGCACAAACAAUAGAGUGUUAUUUAUUUACUGAAGACAUACAAACCCCUUUCCAGACAUCUGCCACCCAUUCUACUUAAUAAAGUAUGUCUGUGUUAGUGUUUAUAAUCAAACUGACUGAAGAUUUACCAAAAAACAAGUAAAUGCGAAGAUAGAAUUUUUCAAAUUUUAGCUGUGUUAACUCUGCUUAGUUAAAGAAACCUGACUGCUUGACAGCAACUGCUCAGCACAGCUGAGGAUGGAGGGCUUAUCAGAAGAAACAUGCUGCUGAGGAAAGGAAAGCUGUGGCUUUCCGUGACCCACUGGCAUUGCAUUUGCCUGAGGAGAUUAUGAGGACAGUAGGUGACAUAAAGUCAGUGUGGACACAUUCUAACAGUAAACCACUGUAAUGUUCAAACAGUAUAGCCUCAAAGAAGUAUUUGUCCUUAUUGUCUUUGUUAUUUCACAUUGCACUGGUUGGCUUUAAGUCUUUAUUUAUUAAUUAAGGUUGUCAAAGACCCAUAGCCAUCUGUAUAAAAAUGUCUUUUAAAUUUAAUUGGUUAUGCUUGCAAUAGCUGCUACCAAUCACUUCUUUGAAUUCAAGAGCAGCCUGCAACAAAAGGUGUCUUGUUUUCUGUUUAUUUCAGUACCCUUUAAUAUCUCAAGUACUUUAUAACAACUAUAUUAUUUUAUUUUUAGUAAAUGAAUGGUGUACAUUUUAGCACUACAAUUUUACUGAUAUGUUUCAAAAAUUAAUAUCUCUGUUGUAAUAAUUUUGCACACCCAUUUCUCUCCAGUAAUGCAAAACAAUUUGUUGCAACAGUGUUUAGGAGAAAAUAACAUACAAGAGGUAUUUUAUCCAGAGAGGCCUUUGGUCCCAUUUUACACUAUCAUCUAAAGUAAUGUUCAUGAAGUUAGCAAUUAAUUAACAUAUUACCUAUUCACAACUGUAAAAAGGGACUAAAUCUUAGUUUUGUUUUGUUUGUUUGUUUGUUUUUUUACGUUAAAUAUGUAAAUGUUAAAGUUAUGUUCAGUUUGUGUUAGUCACAUACAUUUAGUUUUCAUGAUUUUUUGUAUUCAAAUAUGUUUGAAGAAACAUAAACCUAAUAAUUACUUAGGUUGAAAAAAAAAAAAAAAAAAAAAGUGAACUCAGGAAGAGCCAAAUGGUUUUUCACAGCAUGGUAUGUUCUAGUUAUUUUAGAGAGGAUUUUCUUACCGUGUUCAUUUUCUACUGAAAUAGAUGUAGGGCAAAAAACAACCCAAGUUAAAACAGGAAAUCGCUGUGUUUAACCAGCUUCUUCACAAUAACUAUAUUACUGUUACCUGAAAGAAAUAUACUGAUUUAGUUUGAUGUGUGUAACAGGGCCUAUGAGCUUUAUUAACCAGCAGGAGCAAUCCAUCAAUAAUUUUACUGCUUCACUGCCACUGCAAGAAGUCAUUUCCAAAAACCAGUGAACUGCACUCACAAGAGUCAUUCUCUGGAAUAUGCCAGAACAACGAUUAGAUGAGUGAGCAAAAACUGUCUGUAUCUUAAUACUGACCAGUGACUGUGUAGUAGUCACUCUGGAGAGGAAAGCAUUUGUGUGAUUAACAUGAUAUUUUUGAUAUUCCAAACAACAUAUUUAAAUCUGAAAUUCACUUUUUGUUUUUUCUUUCUUUCUUUUUCUACAAAUACUAUGAAUACCUAACUGAACAUACACGCUAUACAGUAGUGAAUGUGGAGGGGUUUGUGCAGAAAAAUAGAUUGUUCAAAUUAGGUCAACAUAAAGAGAGAGUUAACAUCCACUCCUUCUCCUUGGUCUUUCCAUUGUCUCUUUGUCCACCCUGAUAAAUGACUGUAUCAGGCUUUACAAGCACACAUGAUGUACGCAUUGUUCUGGCCACAGUGGAUGGCCACAGUUGGCUAAUCAAUUUGAAAUCCUACCGGAGAGAAUGGAAGUGUUUUUCUAUAACGUAUCAGCUUAAAGCGGGGAAGCAUUUGAUUUGAACAUCAAACUGGCCUACAAGACCCAAAUAGAACCUUUCACCAAAGAUUUAUGAGCUGUUUUAUCCCUACUGUACUAGAAGUGUUACUUUAUCCAUUUGGGAGGACAUGUAUUAGAAAUGUCGAAGGGGACAAUUAAUUCCUGACAAUGAUAGCAGUAUCACAGUUACCAGUGUCUAAGUUGAAGUUAUUAGUAUUCUAUGCACUUGUGGCUAAUACUGCCUUUGUGUGUGCUGACACAAUGAAGAAAAUGGUUAUGACAUCAGAAAACCAAUGUACUGGAGAUGACUUCCAACAGAGUUGCAAAGAGGAUCUUCUCCCAGUGCCUAAGGCAAGAAGAGAAAUCCAGAACAAUUCUUUUAGCAUUACCUGGACUUUGCAAUAUCCCUGGUUUUCACUGCUGGCGAUAUGUGGACUAUGGCAUUUUUGGAGAUUCUUGGCCAUUUCUUGACUUCUUAUGGGAAUCAUUUGAAUCAUUUCAGAAAAUUAAAAAAUAUAAUAUCAAUUUAAUGUACAUACAGUUUGAUGGAAAAAAAAAAAAAGAAAGAAAGAACUUCCCUCUAAAUAUUAAAGGAAAGUAUUUGCAUGCUAAUUAGCGCUAAUGAUCUUUUUAGCACAAUGAUUAACUCCAGGGUGUUCAGCUGGGAUUGAGUGCCAUGGGGGGGACUAGACAGCCAGCUGCUGAUGCCAGCAGAGUAUGUUCUUAAAUGCUUCUAUGCAUUUACCAUAAACAGCAAAUACAUUAAUGAUAGUUGGGCAUAUACAUCUUAACUUUGCCAAAUUGGUGUUAUAUUCACAAAACUAAUGGUCUGUGCAUUAAUGUGCAAACUUGUUUUAUGUAAUAACUGGGGUUAUCUACAACUGCCCUGGUAUAUAGGAGUUACUUACUUUAGUAAAGCAAAAGUCUUGCAAAUAUUUGUAAACAUUUUAUGAAGAUCAUGUGUAAGUAAAUAUAUUACUAUUCCACAAUUUAAUGUGUGUAAUUAAAUGUGUUAUUACAAAUAUAAAUACAUAACAUACAAGUUUCAACAGAAUUUACAUUAGCGUUUCAAUUUCUAAGUUUACUAAGUGUAGAUACUCUGUCUCAUUUAGAUUAAAAAAAAUGUGCAUCACUCAAUUUCUGCAGUGACGUAGGCCGUAGGGAGUAUGGCUUGUGAAAGUAACUUUUGAUGCGAUCGACCCAAUUUCGAAUCCGGCAUUUAUUUUCAACAAAAAAACCUGAAGCUUUGGAGCACAAGACUUAAAUUUGGUCUCAUUUUAAAGAAGACCUUUGGCAGAUUGUUUUCGAAGUGAAAAAAAAAAAAAAAAAAAAAUAUUAACAAAAUGCAUAAUUUUAUAGUUAAAUGGCCCUGGACUUAAAAAUUGCAGUUUUAAUGGGUUUCAAUGGAGGCAUUUUUUUGUCCUUAGGUCCUAUAUUUUGUGUACCUGAUGUAAAAUAGAUUUAUUAAAGUAAGUGAGGGUGAAAUAGUAAGAAUACAAUAAAAAUACAUCUACCAAAAUGUAUGCAGUUGGAAUUAACACAGGCUAAAUGAUUCAAAAAUAAAUAAAUAAAAAAUUAAGAAGAUAAAAAUGUCCUAAAGUAUUUUUAUUUGAAGAAUAUUAUUUCUGUAAUACAUUUUCAUUAUUUAUUUAUUAACAAUAACUUUUAAAACGUAUUGUGAAUUCCAUCUUGACAAUCAGCACAAUCAUGACAUUUGUGCUGGCUGUAACUUUUAGUGGUGUUACAGUAAUUGGUGUUUUUGCCACUGGUUUUAUGUCUUUGGUCUAACUGGUUCUUAUUGAUUUUAAUUGACAAAAUAAGAAUUAAUGUUGCUGUAUAUUAGAAUGAUAACUCACAUUUCUGAAGGAGAAAUUUGAUAUUUUUAGAUGCAAAUCGUCCCCUUGGAAUUAUAAGGUUCUAUCUGACAUUUUUGUCAAAAUUGAGUUAUUCACAUUAUUCAUAUUCUGUGACAACUUAUUUACAUUAUGUGAUGUUUCUUUUUUUAAGUUGCGUACAUUUUGGUACUUUUUUUUAGAAAACAAAAAGGUUCUAUCUACAAAGUUACACUCUAACUUGGGUCUAUAAGGUUCUAUCUGCGUGAGCCAAUCAGCACUUCGAAUGCAGACACGAGGACCAAUCAGGAUCAGCGUUUUUUGUCAUGUCACCAAAUUAGCGGAAACGAUUGCUUUAACAUGCUAAAUCGGUGAAUCGGUGAUCGUUAGACAGCAGCACUAUUAAGAGGAUAGAUUCGGGUUUUGUAGUCUAUUUUCUUUACUCCAGUCAUGUCAUUGUCAUAUGAGGUGAAGUUAUGUAUAUACUAGGUUAUGUUUUAACCUUGAUCCAUCCUGUGUACUUGUACUGAGCUGUAUGUACUAUGUAUCUAUAAAGCUGUACGAAAUGGCACACUGGAUUAAAGUUAAAUUAAAGUUAAGUUAAAUUUUACAUUGUUGGUAAAAACCGAGUUGUUGCAUAGUUGAAGUAAUUUAAAUAUUUUAAAAGUGAAACAUUUUUAAUUAUAUAUAGUCAGUGAAACAUUUUUCAAUGUUUAUUAAACUUUGUUAAACACCUUUGCUGAAGCAUUGUCUGUUUUCUUGCAGUUUUGUUAGUCUUAAAAUCUCUUAAAUUUUACAAUAUUAAGCCUUAAAGGUCAAAUAGUCAAUCAUUUAAUUGAUUGGGUCGUAAUUACAACAAUAAACAUUAGCAUGUUAUUUCAGCCAUACUGAUGUCUAGAGAGAAAGCCAUUGUACCUGUCCCAUUUUCAGUGGAAUAAAGUCCUGUCAGAUGUAUUACAGUAGCUGCUUUCUGUCUAAACAAAAGGAAAAUUAAACUUAAAUGGUUCCUGCAAUAAUGUGUUAAAUUACCCAUCAUAUUCCUACCUAAAUUUAACAUCUGCACUGGACAAAAGAUUAAGCACUGCCUUUUAUGCUUAACUUGAACAAGAAAAAAAUAUUCAUUUAAAAUAUGAAAUAAAUGUCAUAAAACCAUUAAAUUUAACUUUCUCAUGCAUGUCAACACAUUGUCACAACACUAAUUUUGUGUUCUAAAACAAAUUUUAAGUAAACUGUUUUUCAUGUUUGAAAGAAAGUUGUUCCCCAUAUAGAUUUUGCUAUAUGGAAUGCAAAAACUUUGAAACUCAAUAUCUCAAAACUGCUCAGAAUGCAGAUAGAUCCUUAUAAUUCCAAGGGGACAAAAUGUCCACCCAUUUGUAGACUGACCCAGCUCACCCAGCUGACCAAACCCCUUACAAAUCUCAUCAGGAGAACACUUAUCCAGUCCUUGUUUUACCCAGUUGCAUUAAACGUCAAGUCAGAGCCUGCCAUGGUAAUGCAGUGGGCUUUCAGCAGAAGUCAAUGGGAACAUGGUGCCAUUUCCUCAAGGCAGGACACAAUAAUUGGGCAUACUUAACCAUUCAUGCUGUCCUACUGGGCAUGCCUGUGGCUGUCCUGAGAUGCUGGAUGCUUACGAGCUGGAAUUUUCUUGUCGUACUCUUAUGAAGUCUUGUGCAUGUGCAGUUAUCUAGGGGUAGUGUGAUAAUUGCAAUUAUGGAAUGUUUCAUUGCAAAAUUGAUCUAAUAAAUAAGGUGAUGUUUUACUCUUAUGUAACACAAAAAGACAAUUAAACCAUCUGCUAUGUCCUAUCCUUACAAAACGACUGACUUGUCAAACACAACUUGGGCUAUUAUUUGUGCCUCAGCAGCUCGGAGAUGGUCAUGCAAUCUGCCAGAAAAAGCUUGUUAGCCCAUUCAGGCAUGCCAUGUUAUGACAGUUAUUAGGGGAUGGAGUAAUUGUUUUGAAUUUAAAAUUGUGUUAGAGAUGGCAAAGCAAAUGAGGCACUGGCCAGGAUGUCUGAUUUGCAGAAUGAGUGGGAAACAUCUUUUCUUCAGCUACAUUGUAAUAGAUUAACAUUCUGGCUUUUUCUGUAUGCCAUUCAAAGAAAUAAUCAUGUUUGGGUUAAACUACUUUUCUUCCCUAACAUGGUUUUAAUAAUUCAUAAUUAUUUCUUCUGAUGUAAAUUGAACAUCUCAAAUAAUGUUUCAAUGCACUUGUUUCAGUUUAUGCUACAUAAAUUCACUGGCCUUCUGUGGAAAAAGUGUAUGGCUUUGUUUUUUAUUCAUAGAUUUGUUAUUCCCCACCUUUCAGAUUUAUAGGUAAAUGACCUCUGUUAUGCUUUAUGUUAUGGGUCCUCUGUUACCUCUGUUACCUCUGUUAUGGGUCAUAGGUUUGCUGUCAGGUCCUUAUGGCUUAGUGUCCAAAAACUUUGGAGCCACUGCAUAUGAGACCUUUAAACAGCAUUUUUACAUCAUAAUUACAUGUAAACAACUAAUUUUUGGAAUUUUUUCACUGUAAACCUCUUAAACUCCAGUCCAGGGUUCUGCCAAGUUUAGCUCCAACCCUAAUCAAACACACCUGAACAAACUAAUCAAAGUCUUCAAAAGUACUUGCAAAUUACAGGCAGGUGUGUUUGAUUACAGUUGUAAAUAAAGUCACUAGGACUCAGGUUCUUCAGGACAGGAGCUGAAUAGCUCUGCUUUAAAACUUCUAGAAUGAUCAAGCACUCUUGGAAACAGACAGCUUAAUCUCUGUAAGCUUCAAGCAUGAAGAAGGACACAGUGAAGGCCUGUGGGAGAAAAUGCCACACCUGUUGUUUUGUUUGGCAUGUGGCGACAUGAGAGAGAGCUGGACCUAGGACAAAUUUCCCAGGAUCCCUGUUGGAUUUCAUGAAUAAUCAGAUAAAGGCAUGAAUUAGCAAUGACGCUUGGCUGGGUGCUACUGCUUGGAUUGCCUUUUUUUUGGGACAAUAAAAAGAUUAAAAGAUUUCCAGGGUAAGGAUUGAACCUUAAUUGGGCUACUUCCCAAUAAGACUUUAAAAACUAUCGAGAAAUGUUAAUUAAUACAGCUUUUUUUCUUGUUUUGCAGAGAAGUUGUGCCUUAAUAAGAGCUUCUGCUUUUUUGAACAAUAAAUUAAAUAUUGUGUGCACUGUUUUUUGUGGGCACUACAGAAGGUACUAAUGAGGAUAGAAGUUAAGGUUGAGCCCUAUUUUGUGUGCUUAAAAACAAGCUACAAAAAUAAAUCACUGACAGGAUAUUCACUGAUAAGCUAACUGAAUGGCAUUGUUUUUAACACUGAUGUCUCAUUAAAUUUUACAAAAUAAAUAAAUAAAAAAAUGUAAAGGCUGUUGUGGUGCAAAUUAGAUACCCUUUAAUUAAAUACUUUAAUUAUUUAUAUUUUCUUCAGUAAUUUUGAAUAUUUUUAUAACAGUGUACCCGAACAAUACCCUCUUAUGUAUGCAAUUUGCAGGGGCGUGACUAUGGGUGGGGCAAAAGUCCAUCUGCCCACACAACUCCAGGCCAGCAAUCUGUGCAGAAGUUUAGGACAGAGCCAUUGAAUUACAUUAAAGUUACUUGCUUUUAUUAGAUUUAAAACUUGCUGUGUUGAUGUUGUUCAUUUUGAUUGCUAUCUAACACUAUCUGAAAUACUAUCAUUUCUUUUGUAGUAAUGAUGCUACACAGAAUAUUUAUAAAAAGAUAAAAAGACACAAAUGAGUCAUAAUUAAUAAUGCGUUUAAUUGCGUACAAUACAAAAUAAACAUUCAGUUAGAAAUCCUAAAAAAAAACAUGUCUAUGUAGUUCUUGUAUAAUGUUCUUGUAUAGUAAAUGACUGAAUGUGCGCCUAUAGUCUUACUAUAAAUUGAGCUUGUAUUAAAUUGUGAUAUGAAAUAAUUACAGUGUUAUAGUGUUCAUAAUUUAUAUGUUGGUUAACCAGUUUGAUUAUGUUCAAUAUGUUCUACCAUAGUUGUGGAGUCUCUUGUCAGACAGAACAUAAUUAAACAUAAACAUUAAAAAAAAAAAAAAAAAAAAAAAAAAAAAACAUUUUCUAUAGGCUACACUUGAGCAAUAGCAUGAACCUGGCUCUCUUAAACCUAAAUGGAAUGGAAAAGGACUGGAAGACCAAGAAAACAUUCAAAAUAUGAUAUAUUUCUUAGAUUUUCUUCUUUGAGAAGAUUUUUGAGAAGCCAUUUAUUCUGAUUUUAUUAUUUGUUUAUUUAUUUAUUUAUUUUUACAUUUUUGUGUACAUAUUUCCUGUAUUUUCUGUUUGUAUCAUAAUAAAGACCAACAGAUAAAUACGGAUGGCCAUUAAAACAUUGCUAAAACAACAAAGCUGGUGGUAUAUAUACAUAAAUAUGCAGUGGGGUUUGUUUAAAGAUAGAAACAAUAUCCUAGAACCUUCAUUUUUUUGCUUAGCUGUAUAUUCAUAAAAUUUAAAGUUAAUUAAAAAGACAGUUUGUUAACUAGCAUUACUUAUAAUCAUCCCACUUUGAUCCUCCUGUCAGCACUCCUUUCAGAAAGAAAAAAAAGGUCACUGUAAAAUUAUAGCUAAUAAGGACUAAUUCAGCACAUCAAAUGUGAGCCACUUUUCUAAUGACAUAGACUUGAAUGAAGGUCAAAGCUACUGUAAUUCUCUAAAUUAAAUGCAUAGUCUGAUCAGGGUUUGUUGUAGCUAUUUCUCAUCCAGUGCCACAUAAGCAACUGAAGUUCAUUUCAGACCCAGAUUAAUUAUUUAUAUUUAUGAAUCUAUGGCUUUGUUCUAAAAAACCUAGUGAGCUGCCUUGCUGUCUACUGCCUAAACUGGCAGCAUCCUAAUUAGAAUCUCAUAAGUGCCUCAUAUGGGACAUUCUACACAGGCAACAACUCUGUAUGCCAUACAAAUAGCAUGAGUGAAUCUGUAACAGUAUUCACGGCAUCAGUCAAGCUAAUUAUAUUAAAUGCAUUUUCAAUAACUCAUCUCAUGCAUUUACAAUGCAUUCUAGUAUUUUGUUCCUUGGGAAAAGCACAUGCAACGCUAUAGGCACGUACUUAUGCACUAUUCUUUGAAAUUUUGUAAUAAAUAGUGUAGUGUGUUCACGUUGAAAAUUCCAAGUAGUGUGAGUAGUGUGUUCACAUUGAAAAUUCCAAAAAGAAAAAGUGAAAAAUGUUGUUGUGCACUUCAUGCACUCAACUGUCACAGCUUUAAUAACGUAGCAGUGGGGGAGGGACUGUUAGCCUCUGUAGUGAAUUAGCUCAAAAGGUAAAUAUAAAUAAUUAAUCAUAACUUGUUAUAAUUAAUUAUAAAUAUUUUAAUCAGUUAAUCGAAUUAACAUGAUGUAGCUGAAUUAAUAUUACAAUCAAUUAAUCUUUUCAACCAGCGUUCUUUCCACUCAGUAUUGAUCAUCUAUCAACUCUUCAGAAAGGAUAUUUUCCAUAGCCACAGAAAAAAAAACAAAAAAAACCUCUUUCUUAGCAUGUAGCUUUAAUCGUAAUCGUUGUCAGUGACAUAUGUUAAAAAGCAGAUCAGAAUCAACUCGCAAGAAUGUGCACACAAGUUUUAUUGAACUAAAUCACGGACACAUAGCUAGACUAUA